RNAcentral lists this ribosomal RNA (883 nucleotides) under Inocybe sp. Its description in RNAcentral is "LSU rRNA". It matches the Rfam family "Eukaryotic large subunit ribosomal RNA", at positions 72 to 941 of the family's 3401-position model. Lineage: Eukaryota; Fungi; Basidiomycota; Agaricomycetes; Agaricales; Inocybaceae. The record is from RNAcentral.
GGAUUCCCCUAGUAACUGCGAGUGAAGCGGGAAAAGCUCAAAUUUAAAAUCUGACAGUUUUUGACUGUCCGAGUUGUAAUCUAGAGAAGUGUUGCCUGUGCUGGACCAUGUACAAGUCUUCUGGAAUGGAGCAUCAUAGAGGGUGAGAAUCCCGUCUUUGACAUGGACUANCCAGUAUGUUAUGGUAUGCUCUCAAAGAGUCGAGUUGUUUGGGAAUGCAGCUCAAAAUGGGUGGUAAAUGCCAUCUAAAGCUAAAUAUUGGCGAGAGACCGAUAGCGAACAAGUACCGUGAGGGAAAGAUGAAAAGAACUUUGGAAAGAGAGUUAAACAGUACGUGAAAUUGCUGAAAGGGAAACGCUUGAAGUCAGUCAUGUUGACCAGAAAUCAGCCUUGCUUCUGCUUGGUGUACUUUCUGGUUUGACAGGUCAGCAUCAAUUUUGACCACUGGAUAAAGGCUUUGGGAAUGUGGCAUCUUUUGAUGUGUUAUAGCCCAUGGUCACAUACAGUGGUUGGGAUUGAGGAACUCAGCACACCACAAAGGCCGGGUUUCGACCACGUUUGUGCUUAGGAUGCUGGCAUAAUGGCUUUAAUCGACCCGUCUUGAAACACGGACCAAGGAGUCUAACAUGCCUGCGAGUGUUUGGGUGAAAAACCCAUGCGCGUAAUGAAAGUGAAAGUUAAGAUCCUGUCAAAGGAGCAUUGACGCCCGGACCAGACCUUUUGUGACGGAUCCGCGGUAGAGCAUGUAUGUUGGGACCCGAAAGAUGGUGAACUAUGCCUGAAUAGGGUGAAGCCAGAGGAAACUCUGGUGGAGGCUCGUAGCGAUUCUGACGUGCAAAUCGAUCGUCAAAUUUGGGUAUAGGGGCGAAAGACUAAUCGAACC